AGAGUUUGAUCAUGGCUCAGGAUGAACGCUAGCGGCAGGCUUAAUACAUGCAAGUCGUGGGGCAGCGCAGUGUAGCAAUACAUGGGCGGCGACCGGCAAACGGGUGCGGAACACGUACGCAACCUUCCUUUAAGCGGGGAAUAGCCCAGGGAAACUUGGAUUAAUACCCCAUAAGAUUAUGGUGUGGCAUCACACAGUAAUUAAAGCUACGGCACUUAAAGAUGGGCGUGCGGCUGAUUAGGUAGUUGGCGGAGUAACAGCCCACCAAGCCGACGAUCAGUAACUGGUGUGAGAGCACGACCAGUCACACGGGCACUGAGACACGGGCCCGACUCCUACGGGAGGCAGCAGUAAGGAAUAUUGGUCAAUGGACGCAAGUCUGAACCAGCCAUGCCGCGUGGAGGAUGAAGGCCCUCUGGGUUGUAAACUUCUUUUAUCUGGGAAGAAACCACUCUUUUCUAAGGGUGUUGACGGUACCAGUUGAAUAAGCACCGGCUAACUCCGUGCCAGCAGCCGCGGUAAUACGGAGGGUGCAAGCGUUAUCCGGAUUCACUGGGUUUAAAAGGGUGCGUAGGUGGGCAGGUAAGUCAGUGGUGAAAUCUCCGGGCUUAACCCGGAAACUGCCGUUGAUACUAUCUGUCUUGAAUGUAGUGGAGGUGAGCGGAAUAUCAUGUAGCGGUGAAAUGCUUAGAUAUGACAUAGAACACCCAUUGCGAAGGCAGCUCGCUACACUAUUAUUGACACUGAGGCACGAAAGCGUGGGGAUCAAACAGGAUUAGAUACCCCAGUAGUCC
RNAcentral lists this ribosomal RNA (794 nucleotides) under uncultured bacterium. RNAcentral describes it as "bacterial SSU rRNA". It matches the Rfam family "Bacterial small subunit ribosomal RNA", at positions 8 to 796 of the family's 1533-position model. The record is from RNAcentral.